CAAGAAAAACGGCGUCCUUGAGGCCCGAUUUUCAAACCACUGUGUACCGAAUUGUUUGUUGCCUCGGCGGGCUGGCGGCGGGUCUCGUGGCCCUCCGUUCCCCUCGCGUGCCUCACGGCCGCGCGGGGAGCCGCCCGCCGCAGGGCCUUUCAAAAACCAUUCUGUUCGACGAACGUCUGAUAUUACCUUCGCGAAUGCGAUAAAUA
RNAcentral lists this unclassified non-coding RNA (206 nucleotides) under uncultured Sordariomycetes. RNAcentral's name for it is "sequence contains ITS1". Lineage: Eukaryota; Fungi; Ascomycota; Sordariomycetes. The record is from RNAcentral.